RNAcentral lists this ribosomal RNA (297 nucleotides) under uncultured bacterium. RNAcentral describes it as "partial 16S ribosomal RNA". It matches the Rfam family "Bacterial small subunit ribosomal RNA", at positions 775 to 1067 of the family's 1533-position model. The record is from RNAcentral.
GGAUUAGAUACCCUGGUAGUCCACGCCGUAAACGAUGAGCACUAGUUGUUGUGGGUAUUGACCCUCGCAGUGACGACGCCAACGCAUUAAGUGCUCCGCCUGGGGACUACGGCCGCAAGGCUAAAACUCAAAGGAAUUGACGGGGGCCCGCACAAGCGGUGGAGUAUGUGGUUUAAUUCGACGCAACGCGCAGAACCUUACCCGGUCUUGACAUUGAGGGAAAGCCCGUAGAAAUGCGGGCCCCACCUUCGGGUGGCCCAAAAACAGGUGCUGCAUGGCUGUCGUCAGCUCGUGUUG